UAUUAGUUCGGGAUAGCGGAUCGACAAUUAAUCGAGAUUUUUAAUAUUUUUAGUAUUAGAAAUAUUAUUAGAGUGUCGAGUAUUAUUUUGGGAAUUUUCAGAGCAAAUAAAAUUAGACCGUAAAAUAAGAGUUAACGAGUAAAUUUGGAGUUUUAAUAAAAUAAAAUUAUUGGGCUGUAAGUGUGCACGUGUGUUUUGAGAGGUGGCCCAAAUUGAAUAUUAGAGAAGUAUUAUAUUAGGUUUAGAAACAUUGAGUCAUAACACCAAUUAGAAGAACAAGCAGCAAAAGAGGGAGAAAUUAGGAGAGCAUAGCAGUGAACUCAGGAAGAGGAAUCUUGGGGAUUUUCGAUCGGGACGAUUUAGAGCAACCUUCGAUCCAAAGGUAAGGGUGGGAUUCUUGCUCUAUAAAUAGGGACAUGAUGGAUUGUAUGUGGGUUUGGGAAAUUUUGUUUGUCUCUAUGUUUUCAAUUGAAUUCUUUGUAUGUUUGAAGAAUUUCAUGAUUUACUGUGUUAGAUUUGUGAUGCUGAAAUUGUUUUAUUUGGAUUGAUCGAUGAUGUUAUGAAAUUAUGUCUGUGAGGGGUUAUAACUUCUGUGUAUAGGGGCGGGCAUCUUUGCUUGUUGGUAGAAGUCCCAUUUUGGGGACGGUGACCACUAGAUGGAGACGAGGGUCUUCUUUGAUGUCAAUAUAUGGUAGUAUAUUCAAUGGCUAGUAAGCACACUAUAUGACUAUAACUAGGUGAUAUAUUAUAUGGAGAAUUUGAAAUCAAUUAAUUAGUUAAAUGAAUUAGUAUAAUAUUUCAUGAUAGUAUCAUUAAGCCAUAGUUAUGGUACCUGGCACUUUAUGAUGGAAGUAAAAAACAAAAAUAGUGGUAGUAGAGUAUUAGAAAUACAAAACAGUAAAUAAAUAGAUGGCUAAAUAACAUGUUUUUAAUAAGUAGGGAAAUGCCAUUAGCAGAGUAGAUAAUUCGGUAAUAGCAUUAUAUAAAUUCUAAUGGUAUUCAGUAGGACAAUACUAUAACAAAUACUUAGUAUUUAGCAGGACAAAAUGCUUGUAGCAGUAACAGAACCAACUUGUGAGCAUAUCAGUGACCCAACUAAAAUUAAUAAUAGACUUGGGAAUUAAUUAACUGAAUAGUAUAAAUUUAGGCGAGUCCGUAAUUGAUUCGGUAUCCGUAAAUUGACGACAUUUUCGGCGAUGUUUUGACUUGUUGCAUAUUUUGAGAUAUUGUGAAUUUUGCGAUGUUGCAGGAAAUUAAAGUGACGAGUAAUUAUCAAUAAUGAUUGAUAUAUUUUGGCGACGUAGGCAAAUGCCUUAUGCGACGUUGUUUUGUGAUCGAUUGUGGUUGUUGCAUUUCAUAGUGUCUCAUAAAUUGCAUGUUGUAGCGACGGCCUGGAUUGGCAAAACAGCGACGAAGGCCUAUGCCUGUUUUUGAUGCCUCUUUUAUCUGGAAAUUGGCGAUGGGGGCUGAAGCCCUGGGUACCACAUGCAUGAUGCAUUAGUCGUGUCUCAUCCAUUUGCUUUAUUGCGACGUUGUGCGUGAUUAUGUGAUUUUGAUUUUUGAAUUGUUUGUGAUUGAAAUUGAGACGUGAGAUAUAUAUUAUGACUUGAACUGUAAUAUACUCUUUAUCAUGACUUUAUUUAUAUUGUUUGAUAUCUCACCCUUUGCUUGUUUUCGCCGUUGCCUUUAUACUGGUAACGUGCAGGUGAUGCUAGUGAGUGAAGGAUUAGCUGUCGCGAGUUGAGUCGGUUGUCGCUCUGAUACGUAGCACUCGGGGGGAUAGAACGAUUGUUUUUAUUAUUGUUUUAAUUUCUGAAUUUUAUUUAGUUUUGAUUUAAAUUGUAACUUAAAGUUACCGUGCAAAGAUGCUACGACUUGAUUUAAAUAUUUAUGAAGUUUGAUGAUUCCGCUGCGAAGUAAAUUAUUUGAUGAGGUGUUUUUGAGGAUUAAAUUAAUGUUAUGAUUUGUCCGCUAUCAUUUAAGUGCUAUGUAUCUAUGUGGAGGCGUAAUUGCCGUAAGUGAAUUAAAUGACGAAUGUGACAUCCUAUUUCAUCGUAUGAAUUUUUUUAAAAUACUCUGAUUUUCUGUAUAAAUUAUCGGGUAGAUUUGGGGUGUUACAUUAGUGGUAUCAGAGCAGGUCGGUCUGUACGGCCAGUGUCGAGUCGUAGUUAGUUAACAAUCGAGUAUUGUUAAUUACUUUUAUCUGACUGUUAUUUCUGUUGCAGUGCUAAGUUAAGAUGGCUGGGAGAAACGAUGCUGUGAUUGCUGCCGCUUUGGAGGCUAUGGCUCAGGCUUUGGCAAAUCAGCCAAAUGCUAAUGAGAAUGUUGGAUCCCGCAGUUUGGCGACUUUUCAGAGGGAGAAUCCGCCGGUCUUCAAAGGCAAGCAUGAUCCCGACAGCGCAUUGGAGUGGUUGAAGGAGAUUGAGAGAAUCUUCCGCGUGAUGGACUGCACUCAGGCGCAGAAGGUUCGGUAUGGAACUCAUAUGUUGGCAGUCGAAGCUGAUGACUGGUGGCUAGAGACUCGUCAGAGAUUGGAGGUGGCGGGUGAAGAGAUCACUUGGGAUGUGUUCCGCAGAGAGUUUCUGAGGAAGUAUUAUCCUGAAGAUGUUCGGGGAAAGAAAGAGAUUGAGUUCCUUGAGCUGAAACAGGGGAAUAUGGCAGUGACAGAGUAUGCUGCAAAGUUCACUGAGUUGGCUAAGUUCUACCCGUAUUAUGAUGGGGCGGGUGCUGAGUUUUCAAAGUGCAUUAAGUUUGAGAACGGAUUACGCUCUGAGAUCAAGAAAGCUGUUGGGUAUCAGAAGAUUCGUAUCUUUCCUAAUUUGGUUGAUAGUUGCAGGAUUUAUGAAGAAGAUCAUAAUGCACAUUACAAGCUUGUCAAGGAUAGGAGAGGUAAGCAGAACCGUAGCACACCUUAUGAUGCUCCAGUUGGAAAGGGAAAAGCAGAAGUGGCUAAUGGCAAGAGAACUAGUGGGGGAGGAGCUCCUGCUAGCGUGAUUUGCUUCAAAUGUGGAGAACCUGACCACAAGAGUGAUGUAUGUACUGCUGGGGAGAAAAGAUGUUUCCGUUGUGGUAAGACAGGACACGUAACUACUGAUUGUAGACAUAAGGAAGUUAUUUGUUUCAACUGUGGGGAAGAAGGGCAUAUUAGUAGCAAGUGUCAGAAACCAAAAAGGGAACCAGGAAGUGGAAAAGUAUUCGCUUUAGCUGGAACUCAAACAGCUAAUAAGGACAGGAAUACCGGAGGUGCGUAUUUCAUUAGUAAUACUUUAAUUACUAUCGUUGAUUAUUGGUGCUGCUAGUUGUUUCAAUGUUCCUAAUUGUGUUGAAUGAUUAGUAUGUUAGAUUUAAACCUUGUUGAGUUUGGUCGUUUCGAAGGAAUGGUAGUUAGAGUGUUGUCAAGCACAAUUUGGGAAUCGGAGAGUCGGAAACUAGAACGAAGUUAAGGAUGGUGGUAUCGGAUGAAUUUUCGAGGACGAAAAUCCUUUAAGUGGGGGAGAGUUGUAACGCCCGGAAAUUCGAUUAUUCGCUUAAUUUAGACGUUUGGAGUAUUUAGUGAAAUUUUUGUAUUUUAGGACAAUUUAGUCGGUAUUAGUUCGGGAUAGCGGAUCGACAAUUAAUCGAGAUUUUUAAUAUUUUUAGUAUUAGAAAUAUUAUUAGAGUGUCGAGUAUUAUUUUGGGAAUUUUCAGAGCAAAUAAAAUUAGACCGUAAAAUAAGAGUUAACGAGUAAAUUUGGAGUUUUAAUAAAAUAAAAUUAUUGGGCUGUAAGUGUGCACGUGUGUUUUGAGAGGUGGCCCAAAUUGAAUAUUAGAGAAGUAUUAUAUUAGGUUUAGAAACAUUGAGUCAUAACACCAAUUAGAAGAACAAGCAGCAAAAGAGGGAGAAAUUAGGAGAGCAUAGCAGUGAACUCAGGAAGAGGAAUCUUGGGGAUUUUCGAUCGGGACGAUUUAGAGCAACCUUCGAUCCAAAGGUGAUGCUAGUGAGUGAAGGAUUAGCUGUCGCGAGUUGAGUCGGUUGUCGCUCUGAUACGUAGCACUCGGGGGGAUAGAACGAUUGUUUUUAUUAUUGUUUUAAUUUCUGAAUUUUAUUUAGUUUUGAUUUAAAUUGUAACUUAAAGUUACCGUGCAAAGAUGCUACGACUUGAUUUAAAUAUUUAUGAAGUUUGAUGAUUCCGCUGCGAAGUAAAUUAUUUGAUGAGGUGUUUUUGAGGAUUAAAUUAAUGUUAUGAUUUGUCCGCUAUCAUUUAAGUGCUAUGUAUCUAUGUGGAGGCGUAAUUGCCGUAAGUGAAUUAAAUGACGAAUGUGACAUCCUAUUUCAUCGUAUGAAUUUUUUUAAAAUACUCUGAUUUUCUGUAUA
Vicia villosa (hairy vetch) is the source of this 4354-nucleotide RNA transcript. RefSeq lists it as uncharacterized. The record is from RefSeq and is a predicted model, not a curated record. The transcript is spliced from 2 exons. NCBI's taxonomy places the organism in Eukaryota, Viridiplantae, Streptophyta, Magnoliopsida, Fabales, Fabaceae.